GUGGGGAAUCUUGCGCAAUGGGCGAAAGCCUGACGCAGCCAUGCCGCGUGAAUGAUGAAGGUCUUAGGAUUGUAAAAUUCUUUCACCGGGGACGAUAAUGACGGUACCCGGAGAAGAAGCUCCGGCUAACUUUGUGCCAGCAGCCGCGGUAAUACGAAGGGGGCUAGCGUUGCUCGGAAUUACUGGGCGUAAAGGGCGCGUAGGCGGACAGCUUAGUCAGAGGUGAAAGCCCAGGGCUCAACCUUGGAAUUGCCUUUGAUACUGGCUGUCUUGAGUUUGGGAGAGGUGAGUGGAACUCCGAGUGUAGAGGUGAAAUUCGUAGAUAUUCGGAAGAACACCAGUGGCGAAGGCGACUCACUGGCCCAAUACUGACGCUGAGGCGCGAAAGCGUGGGGAGCAAACAGGAUUAGAAACCCCUGUAGUCC
Molecule: ribosomal RNA, 425 nt
Filed under: uncultured bacterium
Lineage: Bacteria
Description: partial 16S ribosomal RNA
Rfam family: Bacterial small subunit ribosomal RNA
Source: RNAcentral